RNAcentral lists this long non-coding RNA (329 nucleotides) under Prunus persica (peach). RNAcentral describes it as "long non-coding RNA (PPER_LNC001612)". The record is from RNAcentral. Lineage: Eukaryota; Viridiplantae; Streptophyta; Magnoliopsida; Rosales; Rosaceae.
GAAAGAUGACCUGAAAUAGGGAGAUCAACUUUCUUCUUCCUUUAGCUGAUGAUUGACACUUGUCCUACUCUCAACCAUUCGAAUUACACAAGACUGACUUUUAUAAAUGGAUUAUGGAAGACUGAUUUUUAUAAUGCAUAUGCCCAUGGUUUUCGGCAUAUAAAACUCGAAGGCUCCUAUUGGUUGAUUUCUUAGUACAAAUCGAAUCUCAUUGGUUGGUUUGGUCCCCUCCAAAAUCCUUGAUGCGAGUCAGCCAAUCCAAGAACCUAAGCGCAAGAAACGAGCACCAGUCUUUAUGAGAUUCGUAGGGGAGGAAUUUGGAUCUUUCU